Molecule: transfer RNA, 69 nt
Filed under: Emydura macquarii (Murray river turtle)
Lineage: Eukaryota; Metazoa; Chordata; Testudines; Chelidae
Description: tRNA-Cys
Source: RNAcentral
AGCUCUGUGGUGAAGUUCAUGUCAGAUUGCAAAUUUGAAGAUGUAUCUUAAGUAAUGAUAUCAGAGCUU